GAUGAACGCUGGCGGCGUGCUUAACACAUGCAAGUCGAGCGAAGCACUUAAGUUUGAUUCUUCGGAUGAAGACUUUUGUGACUGAGCGGCGGACGGGUGAGUAACGCGUGGGUAACCUGCCUCAUACAGGGGGAUAACAGUUAGAAAUGACUGCUAAUACCGCAUAAGACCGCGGUACCGCAUGGUACAGUGGUAAAAACUCCGGUGGUAUGAGAUGGACCCGCGUCUGAUUAAGUAGUUGGUGGGGUAACGGCCUACCAAGCCGACGAUCAGUAGCCGACCUGAGAGGGUGACCGGCCACAUUGGGACUGAGACACGGCCCAGACUCCUACGGGAGGCAGCAGUGGGGAAUAUUGCACAAUGGAGGAAACUCUGAUGCAGCGACGCCGCGUGAAGGAUGAAGUAUUUCGGUAUGUAAACUUCUAUCAGCAGGGAAGAAAAUGACGGU
This 448-nucleotide ribosomal RNA is filed under the name uncultured bacterium. RNAcentral describes it as "bacterial SSU rRNA". It matches the Rfam family "Bacterial small subunit ribosomal RNA", at positions 28 to 458 of the family's 1533-position model. The record is from RNAcentral.